GCUGUCCCCAACCCCACAGUGUCUCCUUGGUGUCCCCAACCCCAUGGUGUCCCCUCGGUGUCCCCAACCUCUAUGCUGUCCCCAACCCCACGGUGUCCCCAGACCGCACUCUGCCCCCUCGGUGCCCUCAACCCCCCGCCUUCCCCAACCUCAACGGUGUCCCCAACCCCCACAACGUCCCCAACCCCGCUGUGUCCAAUGUCACCGUUGUCCCCAAAUGCUCACGGCCAGCGCCCCGCUGUCAUCCAUGCGCCGGAUGUCCUCGCAACCCCACAGGGCCCCACGGGGGACAUAGAGGGUGUGACCCCCCCUCAGCGCCGCCCCUCGCAGCCUCUGCUCCGUCUCGGGGUCGGCCAGCGCCGUGGGGGACCCCAGCUGGGGACGUGGGGACAACCAUGUCCCCAACAUCCGGGUCUGAUGGCCCCAAUGGCCCCCAAUAUCUCAAAGACAGCGGCCCCAGAUUCGUCGGGACAACCAUGUCCCCAAAGUCACCAACAUCCCAACCCCAAUCUCCCCAAAGUCUCCAAAGUCCCCAGCAUCCCCACCCCAAUGUCCCCAAUGUCCCCAAUGUCCCCAGUGUCCCCAAUGUCCCCCAAACGUCCCCUGUGUCCCCCCAGACGGGAUGCUGGGAGCCGCCAUAGUUGGGGGGGUGGCUUUGGGGGUGGCCGGCCUGGCGGGGCUUUUGGGAUUUGCCAUCUCUCGUGCCCGUCACUGAUGUCACCACGUCCCCAACGUGUCCCCAACGUGUCCCCAAUGUGUCCCCAUCACGACCCCAACCCGUCCCCAUUGUCCCCAAAGUCCCCAAUGUCCCCAAAGUCCCCAACCCGUUGUCCCCAUUGCCCCCAACCCACAUCCCCAGUGUCCCAAAUGUCCCCAAUGUCCCCAACUCCCCAUUGUCCCCAAUGUCCCCAAUGUCCCCAAUGUCCCCAACCCGUCCCCAAUGUCCCCAACACCCCAUUGUCCCCAGUGUCCCCAAUGUCCCCAAACCUCCCCUGUGUCCCCAACACCCCAUUGUCCCCAAUGUCCCCAACCCAUCUCCAGUGUCCCCAACCCUCCCCAAUGUCCCCAUUGUCCCCGAUGUCCCCACGUCCCCCCUCCCCCGUGUCCCCAUGUCCCUGUCCACCCCAACCCCUGGCUGACAACGCGGUGACACGAUGGUGA
This is a long non-coding RNA of Phasianus colchicus (ring-necked pheasant), 1161 nucleotides long. The record is from Ensembl. NCBI's taxonomy places the organism in Eukaryota, Metazoa, Chordata, Aves, Galliformes, Phasianidae.